This 652-nucleotide long non-coding RNA is filed under the name Vulpes vulpes (red fox). RNAcentral describes it as "lncRNA (ENSVVUG00000025870.1)". Lineage: Eukaryota; Metazoa; Chordata; Mammalia; Carnivora; Canidae. The record is from RNAcentral.
GUGAAUCUAACCAAGACUCUCUCAUGAGCUGGGUGUUGAAUGAAGCUAACACGUGUGAAAAAAUCAUUUUAAUUAGUCUUUGAAUUCUUGGAGAGUGCAGUAAUAACAGGAAGAAACUCUCUCACCUUUAAGUCCUCAUCCAUGUUUGAAAUUCAUGUUGUGAAAGAAAAUCGGAUUCUUCAAAAAGCUUUGAAAUCAUGAACUGAUAAGUUUCUUAAUAGUGACCUGUAUUUAAUGACAAUAAACUUGUUCUCAGGACGGAGGCGAAAUCAAUAACAAAACUCACAUAUCCAUCUGUAUUUUGUGGAAUUUCUGCUGGCAUACCUGCUUUCUACAACUGAAGGAGAUAAUACAGCAGACACACCAAGUAGUAGAAACCGAGCAAAACAAAGAAAUCGAGAAAUGGAAAAGACUUUCACAGUUGAAGGAUCGUGAAUUGGACAAGUUCCGCACAGAAUUAGACUCAGUACUAGAUAUUCUUUGAGAGCUGCACCGGCAGGGAGUGGUUGUGCCAGUUGCUUUUGCAGAUGAAGUGAAUGCACCAGAAUAUUACUAGAAACCGGGAUUUCCUAGGAGCUCACAGAAAGUUCCCACUGCUCAUAAACAAAGGAAUCUGAGUUUGAUCCAAAAUAAAAGUCCAUGUUCUUAACCA